GGUCAGUCAUAUAAUUAAUCAUGGCAUGCAUUAGCUAAAUCCAAAGUUGAUGUGAGUUUUAAAAUUACACGGAGACCUU
Non-coding RNA from Otolemur garnettii (small-eared galago), 79 nucleotides. Lineage: Eukaryota; Metazoa; Chordata; Mammalia; Primates; Galagidae. The record is from Rfam.